CCUACGGGAGGCAGCAGUGAGGAAUAUUGGUCAAUGGACGAGAGUCUGAACCAGCCAAGUAGCGUGAAGGAUGACUGCCCUACGGGUUGUAAACUUCUUUUAUAAAGGAAUAAAACGAGGCACGUGUGCCUUUUUGCAUGUACCUCAUGAAUAAGGAUCGGCUAACUUCGUGCCAGCAGCCGCGGUAAUACGGAGGAUCCGGGCGUUAUCCGGAUUUAUUGGGUUUAAAGGGAGCGUAGAUGGGUUGUUAAGUCAGUUGUGAAAGUUUGCGGCUUAACCGUAAAAUUGCAGUUGAUACUGGCAGUCUUGAGUGCAGUUGAGGUAGGCGGAAUUCGUGGUGUAGCGGUGAAAUGCUUAGAUAUCACGAAGAACCACGAUUGCGAAGGCAGCUUACUAAACUGUGACUGACGUUGAUGCUCGAAAGUGUGGGUAUCGAACAGGAUUAGAUACCCGAGUAGUC
RNAcentral lists this ribosomal RNA (460 nucleotides) under uncultured bacterium. RNAcentral describes it as "partial 16S ribosomal RNA". It matches the Rfam family "Bacterial small subunit ribosomal RNA", at positions 338 to 795 of the family's 1533-position model. The record is from RNAcentral.